Python bivittatus (Burmese python) is the source of this 2459-nucleotide long non-coding RNA. RefSeq lists it as uncharacterized. The record is from RefSeq and is a predicted model, not a curated record. Lineage: Eukaryota; Metazoa; Chordata; Lepidosauria; Squamata; Pythonidae.
GGGGUGAGAAAAGGGUGAAUAGAAGGGAGGCGGAGCCAGAGAGGCUCUUAAUAAUGGAGGGGGGCAUAAAGAGGGUGUGGCGAGGGCGAGCGCGAGCGCGCUGCAAACGGGACGGGGAAUAGGUUGCGUCGUAUCUCGCCUCCCCUCCCCUCCCCUCCCCGACGGAUGAUAAUGUGCUGCUUGCUGGGCACUUUUGUCUUUUUUAUUCCCGGGUCUGUUAAGAAGAAGGGGGAAUGAGCCGGAAUGGGGGAAAGAGACGCAUCCGCCAUGUUGCCUUUAUUGGAAUAGGACAGGAUAAGGGGCAUUGGGGCCGAUGCUCCUCGCCGUCUUGCCCUUCGAUUAAUCACCCAGGGGCCCUUUCAAGAUUUGAACGCCUUCCCGAUUAAAACUGUGCGUGUGAAGGAGUGGGCCUCGGCGUCUCAACCAUUAUCGUACUUUUCCGGGUCACCUUUGCCCCUCAGAGCAUGCCGUUCCCUACCCUCAGGGUCUGCUAAAAGCUUACCAAGGCAGCUUGCGCUUUUCGCAGAGAUCAGCCGCGCUGCACUGAAGCGGGGGGAAAGGUGGAAAAAAGAAAAAGCCCAAUCUUUGGGCUUGGGAGUGUGUGUGACAGAAUAAGGAGCGUUUGAGAAACUUAAAUUUAUGUCCCACAUUUACAUUGAGUUAGACGUAUAGGCUGCCAAGUGAAGAGGGAACCACUUCCUUUUAACUCCCAGUUGGAACAGAAAGGAGAACGAGAAAAAAGGUUCAAAGAAUCAAGAGUUUGGAAGGGACCCUAGAAGUCAUCCAGACCAAUCCCUACACAGUGCAGGAUCUGUUAAAGCAUCUCUAACAAUUCAGCCUGUGUUUUAAGACCUCUAAAAAAUGUACACAUUUGGGACUAUGCACCACAAGCCAAAUUUGGAGAAGUUGUAGAGUCUGGAAAGAAAUCAAGGGCAUAGAUUCCUGUUAUUCUAACUAGCACAACACCAAAAGGCAGGAUAGUAAUUUUCCAUUCAGUUCAGUCCUUAUAACUUCAGAAAAUGUAGCAAGUUGACUUUUUAUUUUGGUAUAUUUUACUCUGAACUUGCUCUGUGGAUGUUUUUACCUUUUACUUAGCGUUCCUUGAUAAAGUGAGCAAUUCUGCAAUGGUUUGCCUAAACUAGAAUUGAGCCAAAUGCUGUAUUUAUCUAUUUGUUACUGCAGUGUAAUGUUUGUGCUUUGCAUUUGACCUCUUCUUAACCAAUUAGGUCAGAGGCCUGGCUUUGCUAUUGUGUAUUGGAAAGAAGACAAUUUUAGCUAAUGUGGUUACAGUUGCUAUGAAAGGGAGGCUUCAAGCUAAUGGUUUUAAAAAGACUAGAAGGAGCAGCUGCCCUUUGUUUACAUAGAUACCAAGCAGGCAGGUAGUGUUAAAGAAAAAGCCAUUUGGAUUGGUCCAGGGAUCAAAAACUAAAUAGUGUUUGGAAGGUCUAUGAAGACCUGGAUUUGUCAGAACUUCCAAACGGGGGUUUGGGUUGGGUUUUUCAGAGAAUAGAUGGAGGUUGUCAGUUGUUAAAGGGAGUAGAAGAUGUGAUGGAAGAGUGAGGUGCCCAAUUUGAAAGAAUGUAGAGGAGUCGUUUGUGGCUUCAAGGAACAAGAAACUGUAUUAUGGGAUUGGAUUAAAGUUUCCAACAGACUGCAAAACGUAGCAUCAAAAGGUUUUAGGUCUAAGCAUAGGGAUCUAAUGAUCAAUAAUCUGUAUAUGACUCUGGAAGUCUCUGUUAAAGUUGUGAGCACAGUGUUAAUUAAACGUACUUAAAGUACAUUUCAAUAACCUUAAUGUACUAUAUGAAAAGUGACAUUUCAUGUCAUUGUGCCAUCACAAAAGGAAAUUAGGCAUUGAGAUUCUAAGUUUCAAAAGACUUGAUUUAGUGGCAUCAUUUAGGCUGCAUUGCUUAAAUGUGACUUCAGUUUGAGACUGUAUCUUUUAAAACAUGGCAUUUCAGUUCCAAGGAAGCCACCUUCAAAAUUAAAAAAAGAAAAGAAAAAAGGAAGGGAACAUUGGUAGAAUAUGUACAUUGUUCCAUCACAAUUUUUAUGAAUCUGGAUGUAACCAUAGGAUAAGUCCAUCUCCUAAGCUAUGGUUGGGCAUGCUUUUUCUAUCCAGGGCUUUUACUUUCCUUGUUUUUAUUUUGGGGCUUCAAAAGUAAAAUGUUGACAACAGUGAAGUGUGUAGGACUGACAAUCCUUGGAUUCUUAAAACUUGGGUUUUUUUAAAAAAAGAAAACAACAAUAUAGGUCUGUUAAUAUUCUCAGAGGCUUACUACAGCUAUUUUAAGCCUUAUGUGGUAAACAUAAGAGAAGACUCACACUGCCUAAAACAGCUCUGUUGCCUCCAGAUUUCACCAAUGCAAUGUUUGAGAUCCUUGAUGCAUGACUAAAUUUAUCCACAUAUACACUUACUGGCUACUAGGUGUAAUAGAUGUAGAUAAAGUUGGUGCACC